CGAGUGGCGAACGGGUGAGUAAUGCAUCGGAACGUGCCCUGAAGUGGGGGAUAACGUAGCGAAAGUUACGCUAAUACCGCAUAUUCUGUGAGCAGGAAAGCAGGGGAUCUUCGGACCUUGCGCUUUUGGAGCGGCCGAUGUCGGAUUAGCUAGUUGGUGGGGUAAAGGCUCACCAAGGCAACGAUCCGUAGCGGGUCUGAGAGGAUGAUCCGCCACACUGGAACUGAGACACGGUCCAGACUCCUACGGGAGGCAGCAGUGGGGAAUUUUGGACAAUGGGCGCAAGCCUGAUCCAGCCAUGCCGCGUGAGUGAUGAAGGCCUUCGGGUUGUAAAGCUCUUUCGGUGGGGAAGAAAUUGCUUGGGUUAAUACCCUGAGUAGAUGACGGUACCCGCAUAAGAAGCACCGGCUAACUACGUGCCAGCAGCCGCGGUAAUAC
Molecule: ribosomal RNA, 438 nt
Filed under: uncultured bacterium
Lineage: Bacteria
Description: bacterial SSU rRNA
Rfam family: Bacterial small subunit ribosomal RNA
Source: RNAcentral